This 303-nucleotide ribosomal RNA is filed under the name uncultured bacterium. RNAcentral's name for it is "bacterial SSU rRNA". It matches the Rfam family "Bacterial small subunit ribosomal RNA", at positions 355 to 676 of the family's 1533-position model. The record is from RNAcentral.
UGGGGAAUAUUGCACAAUGGGGGGAACCCUGAUGCAGCGACGCCGCGUGAGGGAAGAAGGUUUUCGGAUUGUAAACCUCUGUCCUCUGUGACGAUAAUGACGGUAGCAGAGGAGGAAGCCACGGCUAACUACGUGCCAGCAGCCGCGGUAAUACGUAGGUGGCGAGCGUUAUCCGGAAUUACUGGGUGUAAAGGGAGCGUAGGCGGGGGAACAAGUUGAAUGUUUAAGAUAUGGGCUCAACUCAUAUAAGCGUUCAAAACUGUUUUUCUUGAGUGAAGUAGAGGUAAGCGGAAUUCCUAGUGU